GACGAACGCUGGCGGCGUGCUUAACACAUGCAAGUCGAACGGAAAGAGAUGAAAGAGCUUGCUCUUUUAUUAAUUUCAGUGGCAAACGGGUGAGUAACACGUAAACAACCUGCCUUAAGGAUGGGGAUAACAGACGGAAACGACUGCUAAUACCGAAUACGUUCUAAGCAUCGCAUGAUGCAUAGAAGAAAGGGUGGCCUCUACAAGAAAGCUAUCGCCUUAAGAGGGGUUUGCGACUGAUUAGGUAGUUGGUGAGGUAACGGCUCACCAAGCCGACGAUCAGUAGCCGGUCUGAGAGGAUGAACGGCCACACUGGAACUGAGACACGGUCCAGACUCCUACGGGAGGCAGCAGUGGGGAAUCUUCCGCAAUGGACGAAAGUCUGACGGAGCAACGCCGCGUGAACGAAGAAGGUCUUCGGAUUGUAAAGUUCUGUGAUUCGGGACGAAAGGGUUUGUGGUGAAUAAUCAUAGACAUUGACGGUACCGAAAAAGCAAGCCACGGC
RNAcentral lists this ribosomal RNA (505 nucleotides) under Dialister pneumosintes. Its description in RNAcentral is "bacterial SSU rRNA". It matches the Rfam family "Bacterial small subunit ribosomal RNA", at positions 28 to 497 of the family's 1533-position model. The record is from RNAcentral. Lineage: Bacteria; Bacillati; Bacillota; Negativicutes; Veillonellales; Veillonellaceae.